Molecule: transfer RNA, 64 nt
Filed under: human gut metagenome
Rfam family: tRNA
About the family: Transfer RNA (tRNA) molecules are approximately 80 nucleotides in length. Their secondary structure includes four short double-helical elements and three loops (D, anti-codon, and T loops). Further hydrogen bonds mediate the characteristic L-shaped molecular structure. tRNAs have two regions of fundamental functional importance: the anti-codon, which is responsible for specific mRNA codon recognition, and the 3' end, to which the tRNAs corresponding amino acid is attached (by aminoacyl-tRNA synthetases). tRNAs cope with the degeneracy of the genetic code in two manners: having more than one tRNA (with a specific anti-codon) for a particular amino acid; and 'wobble' base-pairing, i.e. permitting non-standard base-pairing at the 3rd anti-codon position.
Source: RNAcentral
CGUUAGCUCAGUUGGUUAGAGCAGGGGACUCAUAAUCCCUUGGUCAUUGGUUCAAGUCCAAUAC